GACGAACGCUGGCGGCGUGCUUAACACAUGCAAGUCGAGCGGUAAGGCCCUUUCGGGGGUACACGAGCGGCGAACGGGUGAGUAACACGUGGGUGACCUGCCCUCAGCUCUGGGAUAAGCCCGGGAAACUGGGUCUAAUACCGGAUAUGACUUCAUGACGCAUGUUGUGGAGUGGAAAGCCUUGUGCGGCUGAGGAUGGGCCCGCGGCCUAUCAGCUUGUU
RNAcentral lists this ribosomal RNA (221 nucleotides) under uncultured bacterium. Its description in RNAcentral is "partial 16S ribosomal RNA". It matches the Rfam family "Bacterial small subunit ribosomal RNA", at positions 28 to 250 of the family's 1533-position model. The record is from RNAcentral.